AACAUGAUAACACGAAAGAAAAUAUCAUCAUUAUAUAGAACCUUAAAAUCCACUUCUGCGUCAGUGUUAUUUAACCAAGGCAGCUCCUCCGACAGCCUGCUGGGUCCUGUUUCUGCUCCACCGCCAGCUCCAAAUAUUCCAACCCUGUCUUCCACACCUACCUGCUGCUCCCGGACUUGCCUCCAGUCCCUGCAAUAUUCCUCAUUUCCUAUCUGACCUGUGAUUUGAUCUGGAAGACACAAAGGUUGAAUGCCAUACUGUGAAACCUUCCAGACAAAGCAAAGACAUCUCCAUGAAGAAAAGCAUUUGACAGACCCUCCACCAGAAAAAUUACACAAUGCACCUUUAAAUAAAAAACAAAGGCAGUUCAAAAAUGUAGCACAAAAUUAUGAAUCACCCUACUUUCCCCUUACUUUCACCUGCCUGUUGAUGGUCAUAUACUGUACAAUUCGUUGGAGUAUUUGUACAGUCCUUUGCUGUAAAAAUGCUUAGAUCUCCCAAAGUAAGGAGCAGAGAGGCCAGAGGCAGAAGCAGGGCAGUGGGCCUCUUCACACAGCUCCACAUGCUCAGCACCUUAGGGACCCUGCAAGGAUAAAAAUAAGACUCAUGAAUUUAGUUAUCUACUCUCACGUCCGGGGCUCUACUGGGAGUGUGAUAAAAAACCAAUGCAAUUUUCCCAAAACAUGCUGUGAAAAAAGGUGAAUAGUCAUACAAUAGUCAUAAAAAGGGCUUGAGAGGAGCAGAGAAAAGCCCAGGGACAUUUUAUAGCAGCAUUAAUCAGCCCAAUUACAGUGGCUUGGCUUCAACAUGGAGUCAUAGGGGAAAAAAGAUUAUUACAAUUUAAGUUCUUUUGUGAACUAUAGUAGAAAUAAGAGUGAGGCAAAUACUCAGCUCUUCUUCAUCGUCACAGUUUAAUACAGCGUUUAACACAGCCACCACAUCCCUACAGACACUGCACUGAUUCGUCUGUCAAUCUCACUCUCCAUCCUUCCCUCAUUCAUGAACAAGACCCCGAGAUAGUUAAACUCCUCCUCUAGAGGCAGGGACUCUCCACCAUAGACUGUGCAUAGUGGACACAAGCCCCGGGGUUUCAAAAUAGUCGCCCAUGCAAGUCAAUGGGCCGAGCUCAAGGGCGCAUCUCUCCAGAUUAGUCAAACCCGGCGAGGUACUUCGGGUGGCUGUGGGCCAAUUGAGCAUGCGCAGUAGUGCUCUUUUCUAGUGUUUUUUUUUUUUUUUUUAAGACAACUGAAGGGUUUUGAGCUGAGAAAAAGUUUAUGAUCUAAAAACAGGUAAAAAUGAAUACAAAAUCCAACAUUUUUUUGAAAGUUGUAGGUGCCUUGUCAGCCGAACACGAGCAGUUUAUGAUUACAGUGUGCUCUAUAAAAAAAAUCUCUCUCUCAGCCCAUGGGAUUUUUUCCUGAACUAACAUUGAGUGUCCAUUACAUCAACUGGAAGCAGCUACAAGCAGCAAUACCCUAUCCUUUUAUUUUAAUAGAGUGAGUCAUGUGUGGACAUAGCUAACCUGCUAGCUGGAAGUGAGCAUGGGAGCGCUUCUGGCUCCAUCGACUCCUUGUGUUUUUAUUUCGCUAUUUUGUCCGUGAAUAAAUUCCUAUUCCUAAUAUGGAACCCGGCUUCGAA
Molecule: long non-coding RNA, 1638 nt
Organism: Boleophthalmus pectinirostris (great blue-spotted mudskipper)
Lineage: Eukaryota; Metazoa; Chordata; Actinopteri; Gobiiformes; Gobiidae
Exons: 3
Source: RefSeq, a predicted model, not a curated record